RNAcentral lists this ribosomal RNA (1395 nucleotides) under Lactiplantibacillus plantarum. Its description in RNAcentral is "bacterial SSU rRNA". It matches the Rfam family "Bacterial small subunit ribosomal RNA", at positions 67 to 1434 of the family's 1533-position model. Lineage: Bacteria; Bacillati; Bacillota; Bacilli; Lactobacillales; Lactobacillaceae. The record is from RNAcentral.
CUGGUAUUGAUUGGUGCUUGCAUCAUGAUUUACAUUUGAGUGAGUGGCGAACUGGUGAGUAACACGUGGGAAACCUGCCCAGAAGCGGGGGAUAACACCUGGAAACAGAUGCUAAUACCGCAUAACAACUUGGACCGCAUGGUCCGAGUUUGAAAGAUGGCUUCGGCUAUCACUUUUGGAUGGUCCCGCGGCGUAUUAGCUAGAUGGUGGGGUAACGGCUCACCAUGGCAAUGAUACGUAGCCGACCUGAGAGGGUAAUCGGCCACAUUGGGACUGAGACACGGCCCAAACUCCUACGGGAGGCAGCAGUAGGGAAUCUUCCACAAUGGACGAAAGUCUGAUGGAGCAACGCCGCGUGAGUGAAGAAGGGUUUCGGCUCGUAAAACUCUGUUGUUAAAGAAGAACAUAUCUGAGAGUAACUGUUCAGGUAUUGACGGUAUUUAACCAGAAAGCCACGGCUAACUACGUGCCAGCAGCCGCGGUAAUACGUAGGUGGCAAGCGUUGUCCGGAUUUAUUGGGCGUAAAGCGAGCGCAGGCGGUUUUUUAAGUCUGAUGUGAAAGCCUUCGGCUCAACCGAAGAAGUGCAUCGGAAACUGGGAAACUUGAGUGCAGAAGAGGACAGUGGAACUCCAUGUGUAGCGGUGAAAUGCGUAGAUAUAUGGAAGAACACCAGUGGCGAAGGCGGCUGUCUGGUCUGUAACUGACGCUGAGGCUCGAAAGUAUGGGUAGCAAACAGGAUUAGAUACCCUGGUAGUCCAUACCGUAAACGAUGAAUGCUAAGUGUUGGAGGGUUUCCGCCCUUCAGUGCUGCAGCUAACGCAUUAAGCAUUCCGCCUGGGGAGUACGGCCGCAAGGCUGAAACUCAAAGGAAUUGACGGGGGCCCGCACAAGCGGUGGAGCAUGUGGUUUAAUUCGAAGCUACGCGAAGAACCUUACCAGGUCUUGACAUACUAUGCAAAUCUAAGAGAUUAGACGUUCCCUUCGGGGACAUGGAUACAGGUGGUGCAUGGUUGUCGUCAGCUCGUGUCGUGAGAUGUUGGGUUAAGUCCCGCAACGAGCGCAACCCUUAUUAUCAGUUGCCAGCAUUAAGUUGGGCACUCUGGUGAGACUGCCGGUGACAAACCGGAGGAAGGUGGGGAUGACGUCAAAUCAUCAUGCCCCUUAUGACCUGGGCUACACACGUGCUACAAUGGAUGGUACAACGAGUUGCGAACUCGCGAGAGUAAGCUAAUCUCUUAAAGCCAUUCUCAGUUCGGAUUGUAGGCUGCAACUCGCCUACAUGAAGUCGGAAUCGCUAGUAAUCGCGGAUCAGCAUGCCGCGGUGAAUACGUUCCCGGGCCUUGUACACACCGCCCGUCACACCAUGAGAGUUUGUAACACCCAAAGUCGGUGGG